RNAcentral lists this ribosomal RNA (305 nucleotides) under uncultured bacterium. RNAcentral describes it as "partial 16S ribosomal RNA". It matches the Rfam family "Bacterial small subunit ribosomal RNA", at positions 505 to 807 of the family's 1533-position model. The record is from RNAcentral.
ACAGCAGUAGCCACGGUAAUACAGAGGGUGCGAGCGUUAAUCGGAUUUACUGGGCGUAAAGCGUGCGUAGGCGGCUUCUUAAGUCGGAUGUGAAAUCCCUGAGCUUAACUUAGGAAUUGCAUUCGAUACUGGGAAGCUAGAGUAUGGGAGAGGAUGGUAGAAUUCCAGGUGUAGCGGUGAAAUGCGUAGAGAUCUGGAGGAAUACCGAUGGCGAAGGCAGCCAUCUGGCCUAAUACUGACGCUGAGGUACGAAAGCAUGGGGAGCAAACAGGAUUAGAUACCCGGGUAGUCCCUGUCUCUUAUAC